GACGUAGGGGGCAAGCGUUGUCCGGAAUUACUGGGCGUAAAGGGCGUGUAGGCGGUUUCUUAAGUCAGGCGUAAAAACUCAGGGCUCAACCUUGAGGUGGCGUUUGAAACUGGGGGACUUGAGGGCAGUAGAGGAAAGCGGAAUUCCCGGUGUAGCAGUGAAAUGCGUAGAUAUCGGGAGGAACACCAGUGGCGAAGGCGGCUUUCUGGGCUGUACCUGACGCUGAGGCGCGAAAGCUAGGGGAGCGAACGGG
RNAcentral lists this ribosomal RNA (253 nucleotides) under uncultured organism. RNAcentral describes it as "partial 16S ribosomal RNA". It matches the Rfam family "Bacterial small subunit ribosomal RNA", at positions 524 to 776 of the family's 1533-position model. The record is from RNAcentral.